RNAcentral lists this transfer RNA (72 nucleotides) under Protopterus sp. RNAcentral describes it as "tRNA-Val". It matches the Rfam family "tRNA". Rfam says of the family: Transfer RNA (tRNA) molecules are approximately 80 nucleotides in length. Lineage: Eukaryota; Metazoa; Chordata; Ceratodontiformes; Protopteridae. RNAcentral also lists the same sequence under 1 other name. The record is from RNAcentral.
CAAAAUGUGGCUUAAUUAGCAAAGCACCCCCCUUACACUGAGGACACACCCGUGCAAAUCGGGUCAUUUUGA